Non-coding RNA from Ictidomys tridecemlineatus (thirteen-lined ground squirrel), 693 nucleotides. The record is from RefSeq and is a predicted model, not a curated record. Lineage: Eukaryota; Metazoa; Chordata; Mammalia; Rodentia; Sciuridae.
UUUAUUUCUCCAGGCUGUAAGAUUAUUUCCAAACAGGACUUUCAUUUUGUUUUUCUUUUCCAGAGUCCAGACGGAGGGUGUUUCUCUCGUCACUUUAGGCUCCCGGCGUGACUCUGCCAAGGGAGGCACCCGCCUUCACCGGGUGACACUUUUGGAUGUACUCGUGGUAUUUCCUGUGACCACUGCUUUGGCUCUUGGCUCAAAGGCACAUAGUGAGGCCGAUGGUUAUAUCCAAAGUCCCCAAAGUCUACUUGGAAAUUUGACUGGCUUAUGGGAUCCAGAGGUGGAGGAUUGUACAGUCAGUGACCUGCCCAGGGUUGGAGGCAGAGCUGAGUGGGACGUGGGUUCUUCUCUCCCAGAUGAGUGCACCUGCGACCUGCUCACCUAGUUCUGUCGUAAGUCGAAUCUCCUAACUACAAGGGGGCGCCACAAUCUGCUGAGGAUCAGGAAACAAUACUUCACGGACACGGACUUUCCUGAACCAGAUUAGCAACAUUAAGUAGCUGGGUGGGCGGCAAGGCCCGUCCUCAUCUGCCACUUUUGUGAUGAAGUCAUGAGGUUUUCUGAUCCGUGGUCCAAUGUGUUGCCAAGAAUCCAAAGACGUUUUCAUUCCAAGAUGAAGGAGGGAAACUGCAGUGGAGUGAGUCUAUUAAGCACUUUCAUCUGACAAUAAAAAUGAGUUAAUGGCUCAAA